This 424-nucleotide ribosomal RNA is filed under the name uncultured bacterium. Its description in RNAcentral is "bacterial SSU rRNA". It matches the Rfam family "Bacterial small subunit ribosomal RNA", at positions 355 to 776 of the family's 1533-position model. The record is from RNAcentral.
UAAGGAAUAUUGGUCAAUGGACGCAAGUCUGAACCAGCCAUGCCGCGUGGAGGAUGAAGGUCCUCUGGAUUGUAAACUUCUUUUAUCUGGGACGAAACACUCCUAUUCUUAGGGGCCUGACGGUACCAGAUGAAUAAGCACCGGCUAACUCCGUGCCAGCAGCCGCGGUAAUACGGAGGGUGCAAGCGUUAUCCGGAUUCACUGGGUUUAAAGGGUGCGUAGGUGGGUGUAUAAGUCAGUGGUGAAAUCCCCGAGCUUAACUUGGGAACUGCCGUUGAUACUAUACAUCUUGAAUAUCGUAGAGGUAAGCGGAAUAUGUCAUGUAGCGGUGAAAUGCUUAGAGAUGACAUAGAACACCAAUUGCGAAGGCAGCUUGCUAUGCGAUUAUUGACACUGAGGCACGAAAGCGUGGGUAGCAAACAGG